RNAcentral lists this ribosomal RNA (472 nucleotides) under uncultured bacterium. RNAcentral's name for it is "bacterial SSU rRNA". It matches the Rfam family "Bacterial small subunit ribosomal RNA", at positions 355 to 825 of the family's 1533-position model. The record is from RNAcentral.
UGAGGAAUAUUGGACAAUGGGCGCAAGCCUGAUCCAGCCAUGCCGCGUGUGUGAAGAAGGUCUUCGGAUUGUAAAGCACUUUAAGUUGGGAGGAAGGGCAGUAAGUUAAUACCUUGCUGUUUUGACGUUACCGACAGAAUAAGCACCGGCUAACUCUGUGCCAGCAGCCGCGGUAAUACAGAGGGUGCAAGCGUUAAUCGGAAUUACUGGGCGUAAAGCGCGCGUAGGUGGUUUGUUAAGUUGGAUGUGAAAGCCCCGGGCUCAACCUGGGAACUGCAUCCAAAACUGGCAAGCCAGAGUACGGUAGAGGGUGGUGGAAUUUCCUGUGUAGCGGUGAAAUGCGUAGAUAUAGGAAGGAACACCAGUGGCGAAGGCGACCACCUGGACUGAUACUGACACUGAGGUGCGAAAGCGUGGGGAGCAAACAGGAUUAGAUACCCAUGUAGUCCCUGAGCGGGCUGGCAAGGCGCAU